CAACGAGAGACCAGACGGCAGCUACAACGGUAGCAGUGCUGUGGGGGACAGUGUUUCGGUCCUUUGGGUGCCCAGAGCGGAUCUUGACUGACCAGGGGCCAGCAUUUGAAGCUGACUUGACCCAGCAGCUGUGUACCCUGUAUGGGUGUCGCAAGGGUAACUGAAAGGAACGAGAGAGAUUUCCCAGGUGACGCUGGAGUGAUGACGCGAUCCAGCAGCGACACGCCGGACAACAACAAUCGCCAGCCAGCCGGCGUGAGGGGAGAGAAGCAUGUUAGCAUGCCAGCUAAAGGGAAGUGCUUGUACUGAUUCGAGUGGAUACUCUGUGUGAAUGGGUCAGCUUCUAGCCUGCCGGUUUGUAAGUGUGCUUUCUGUCCAGAGCUACCGUCAGAGGAGAAGCAGAAGCGGCAUCGGGAGGAAGAGUGCGAGAGAGAGACGCAGACUGUCACCAGCCAGGGUGUGUGGAAGUGCGACGGUGGCGUGAUCUUCCCUCCUUCAUCCUGCAACGAUGAACCGCUGUUUCGCUUGCUCCUGGACUUAUUGAGCUCGUGGGGUUUGGGUGUUUUGCUGUGUUUUGGUCGGCGUGGGGGAUGCCGCCGACCAAAAGUGUUUUCCUUCAUCACCGGCAGCGCACCCGCUUAGCGGGGCAGGCAUGAACUGGGUGAGCCCCUCUUAUUGGUUUCCACUUGCUGGGGAGGUAAGUGUAGCCUAACGUGACGAGGGGCUGUUUAGUGUAGCGUGGGAGCGAACUGUAACAGUGGUGUCGCUUGCUGUGGGUGUGUGUGAGCCAUCUGUGCACGGACAUUGCUUAUGUAUAUUUCACGUGUGAAUUGUAACACCAGUGUUUUGCCUAGCUGGGAAUGAUAUUGGGGGCUUUGCUGUGGGGAGUUUGUUUCUAAUGCAUUGCAUGUCUUAUUUCUAAGUGGCCUCUCUGAAAUUAAGUUGUACUCCCCCUCCCCCCUUUGUGGUGCCUGACUGGCUAUUAGUUAGCCUCUUUAUCCUGUGUGAUUGGGGUGGGUUACAUAGGAUAGGCUGGGCCUAAACUAUGUACUAUAUUUUGCCCAGGGACUGUGUGCUUCUAAGUGUGUGUGUGGCUGCCGGC
Clupea harengus (Atlantic herring) is the source of this 1102-nucleotide long non-coding RNA. NCBI's taxonomy places the organism in Eukaryota, Metazoa, Chordata, Actinopteri, Clupeiformes, Clupeidae. The record is from Ensembl.